GUGAAUUUUAGGGUGCUCUUCUCCUUCUUAACAAAGGGAAGAGGCCUGACCUCCACUCUCCAACACUGUGCACUUAUCGGCAUUAGGAUUUUUUUGGCAAUAGACUUAACGUCUUGCGCCAGCUCUUCCUUUUGCGGCUUUAUUUUAACACUUGUCAAAGAAUGUAACAAAAACCAUAACAAAAAA
RNAcentral lists this unclassified non-coding RNA (186 nucleotides) under uncultured fungus. RNAcentral describes it as "sequence contains ITS1, 5.8S rRNA gene". The record is from RNAcentral. Lineage: Eukaryota; Fungi.